This 234-nucleotide unclassified non-coding RNA is filed under the name air metagenome. Its description in RNAcentral is "partial contains small subunit ribosomal RNA, internal transcribed spacer 1, and 5.8S ribosomal RNA". The stretch from base 1 to 46 matches the Rfam family "Eukaryotic small subunit ribosomal RNA", at positions 1786 to 1831 of the family's 1831-position model. The record is from RNAcentral.
AAGUCGUAACAAGGUUUCCGUAGGUGAACCUGCGGAAGGAUCAUUACAGAGAACAUUGCCCUUACGGGUGACUCUCCAACCCUAUGUUAUUAUACCUUUGUUGCUUUGGCGAGCCGCCUCGGCCACCGGCUCACGCUGGUGAGUGCUCGCCAGAGGACCCCAAACUCUGAAUGUUAGUGUCGUCUGAGUACUAUAUAAUAGUUAAAACUUUCAACAACGGAUCUCUUGGUUCUG